GGGAGGUUUAGCACAGCUAGCAGUAUUUUUUUUCUUCUUCUUUUUAUAUCCUUCCACGAUGACCCAGUUUUGUGAUGAUUUGAAAUUCGAAACAAAGAAAUAAAUUAAUCCGAUGUGACAUUUCAUAACUUGUAUUGCUUGCAACUAUGUCAAUAGGUAUAAUAUACCAGAAACUGAUAAUAAAUCGCGUCCUGAUUUAUCGAGUACCUACAAUGUGCCAGGUACAUCCUAAUGACUGACAAUCAUUAAAUUUCACAACAGCCCCAUAAGGCAUUAUUAUCCUCAGCUUUACUCCAGCAAAGUGCGGUUCACAAGAUUGCUUUAGCAAUCUGCCUAAGGCUGUAGAAGAGGAAGUGGGGGCCUCCAGAGUCAGAUACAGGUCUGUGAGAUUUCAAAGGAGGAUUUCAAAGGAAGAACGACUCAGUUGGGAAACUAUGAAAAGUUGAGAAACUACGAGCCUGCCAGAACUUUGCGUCUGAGUAGUGCUGCUGUGGUGGGACCUGCCACCUUGGGAGGUAGGACUCUGGGGACAGGCACAUGGGGGAUGAGUGAGGAGAGGGACAACAAGCUGUCCGGCGUUGAGACUGGCGACCUGGAGCUGACAUCAGCACCCCUGGAGAUGUCCCCACUGCACCCAGGACGACCUGUAACGGACUCGAGCUCACACAUCGGAUUGAUGACAGAAUUGGGACCCCAGCUGAAGUCUAGUUUCUGACUCCAGUUUCAUUCCCGUCUUUCUGAUCUGGUAUGACAUCAAGGAUGUGACGACACUCACUUAUAGAACGUAAACUCGACCAGGCAAUAGAGAUGGACCAGCGACGUGGAUCUGGAUGUGGGAGCCUUUGCCCGGCCAUCAAAUGCACAGAGGUUAAGAAAAACGCCCAGUCACAGGCUGCUGCUCCAGAAGACGGUCCCGCACACCGGCUCUUCUGUGCCCUUGCUCCCCGCUUGAUGUUUCACCCUGAAAGCCUGAACGCCGUGCUCGGCUCCAAGAACUUCCCUUCCAGAGUUUGUGAAAUAGCUUCGUUGAGAGUCUUACAAUGGUUUUCUGUUUCCCAAGAGUAUGCUAUAGGGGUCAUGGUUACAGACGUUAGGAAAGGCUGGGUGGGCUGGGCUAAUUAUAUAUGGAUUAUUGCCUCACAUUUUCCUGUCCCGCAGACUCAAUGCAGAUGGUGAGACUGUGAGAGAAGCAGGGGCAGAUUUGCCACCAAAGAGACAGGAAAUCUCUGCAGGAGGCACACAAGCACGAGGGGCGUGUCUCCCACUGACCCUGGCAUCGCUCCAGCAAAUCCUUCCUUUUUUGGUUCAGGAGGGAGACAGGAGGGAGACAGCUUGCGUGGGCUCUGCCAAGGCUAACCAACUCUUGAUUUCCCCAAACGAACGUUGGAACUUGCCAGCUUUAGGCUAAAGAGAGAAACCAGACACCUUUCAAGAAGAACAGCAAACGCACAUUCCUCUUUAAUUAUACAGCUUCCUUAACUGUCUAAUCACUUACAAACAGGUCCUUCCUAGAAGCAUUCCUUCAGCAGAUGACUAUUCAGGAGAUAAAAUAGAUCCUGGGAGUGUUUACAAAAGACAUCUGCUUUCUUUGGCUAGUUGUCGCCAUUAAUCAAAAUUUAUGUGGAACGGCUCGUCUUUGGCAGAACAAGAAUAUAAUCAAGAUGACCCUGAAGGGCUAAAAAAGGUUAAUGGACUGACAUAGCAUGUAUGAAUUCCACAAACAUGCAGAACCAGUCUCCAAGGGUCCUCGAAAUACGGAAAUUAGGUGCCUGACUCAGGCGCGCACACGCGGAGCGGGGUCCACACACAGAGAGUCCAUCGUUCGUUCUAGUCGCGACCUUUCCUGCUGCCCAGCCCAUCAGGUCUAUCCUUCCGACUGGCCUCUCUCCCUGCCUGGGAGCUGCCCGGCAAGUUGUUAGAAGGUUCAGAAGGCUCUAGAAUCAGAUUUCAAAGUACUUGCCAGUGAAUUUCCCUCUCGGCUCUCCGACCCCACCCCCACCUGAAAGUCCUUCACUUGUUAACUCGGGGCCUCUCUUCCCUGCCCCUCAGGCCUGAGUCACUCACUUCACACCAGGAACAAAGUUUGCAAAUACUUGGCUACCAGGAGUCGCUGUUCUCAGGGCCAGAUGGAAGAUUCAGAUGCAGAUUUAGAGAGCUAGUUUGUAGCUCCCAGAGCUGAGAUAAAUAUGCCAAGA
Long non-coding RNA from Pteropus alecto (black flying fox), 2195 nucleotides. RefSeq lists it as uncharacterized. The transcript is spliced from 3 exons. The record is from RefSeq and is a predicted model, not a curated record. Lineage: Eukaryota; Metazoa; Chordata; Mammalia; Chiroptera; Pteropodidae.